This 1770-nucleotide long non-coding RNA is filed under the name Penaeus monodon (black tiger shrimp). RNAcentral describes it as "uncharacterized LOC119596133". Lineage: Eukaryota; Metazoa; Arthropoda; Malacostraca; Decapoda; Penaeidae. The record is from RNAcentral.
CAGUAAGCUGGUUGAGUAAUGGAAUAUUUUAAUAGAAUGGAAUAAUUUCUUUUCAGAAAGGGGACGCAGACACACCAGACCCAGUGCAGAGAGGAAUGAGUACACAGCUCUUCGCCAGUGCGUUCUUGCCGGACAGAAAGUUUAUGUCUAAUAAUGAAGAUGUUGGGAAAAAACAUAAAAUAGAGAAAUGAAAUACAGAGUUCAAGAAAUCGCAGUGUGACAAAAAAUAAAUAAAUAAAUAAAUAAAUAAAUAAAAAUAUAUAUAUAAAAAGAGAAAGCAGAGGAAAACAAAUCAAAUAUCCUCGGUGGACUUAGUAUCACCUGAAUGAUCGUUAACAAAACCCAGGUUGAAUAUUACCGAUGAUCCAGCGGGAAGUGCUUACAGGAAGCUGAUUGAAGUUCCGCUCAUGUGGAGGCUGAGGUUGGCUACUGCUUAUCCUGUUCAUCCAUCCUUGCCUGCCUGCGUGCCUGCCCGAGCGUCCUCAAACUCCAAAGUUAUUCCUGAAAUUUGGCUGUUAUAGAAUAAGAGAUAAAGGAAUUAUGUACUACAUAAUGAAUUAGAGAACUAGAACAUAACAAUCGGCAGUGAUUAUUGACUGUCUGAGUGCUGAAGUUGGUGCUAUAAGUGAAUAUGUAUAUAACGUUGUAUUUAUUCAGUUUGAUGGUGAAUAGGUGUACAUAGCCUGUAAGGAAGUUAACCAUAUUGAGAAUUACACGUCGCUCAGUGAGAGAACGAGUCCAACAACCUUAGACAUCCGUGCAGUGGCCACCUGGAUCGCGCACGGAAUGUUGUCGCUCUGAUAUCUAGGCUGCCAACUGCUAACGCUUAAGGACGUGUUGAUCACUGGUGUAAUGUGCAAUAUUCCUUUGCAAUAUCCAGUGCAUUCACACAAAGACCGUGCCCCCUGAUUUACCUUUCCAAGACCAAACUAUCCCAGAAAAACCGACAUGUGUCUGAAACUCAAUUUUGUGAGCCGAUUUAACGGAAAUAUAUUUUCAUUGUCUUUGAUUUUUAGGGUAAUAUUUCUAUCAAUAUGAUAGAUGUAAGAAAACUAUGAAAAGUCAUUGAUUUAAGUCUUACGUUAGCCGGACCAUUUAAUAUGAUAUGACAAAAAAUAGAGGUAAAAACAAAAAGUAUGUUUGUAAACAAAUGAGACGUUUAUGAACGUAAAAAUGGCAAAUCUAGUUCUCGAUUUCUUUAUUUUGUUUCUUUUACGUCAAUCAAAGUGUACUUAAGCAAGCUUUUGUUUAUGCAUAAGGAUUCAGUUCCUGAGGAAACGUGUGAAUAACUUUUCCAAUACAGGUGAUUUUCAUAUCUCUAAGGUUCGCAGUUAAGUAAAGCGCUCCUCACUUCUUACUUUUGGUUUGGUCUCUUGAAGUAUCUGCGCAUCAGUUUUUAAGUAUUCCACAUCAAACGCAUAAUGGGACUGAAAUAACGUAUGCAAGGGCUUGUCUGUUUUCUUUUUUGUAUAAUAGAUUUCUUCGAUAUAAAACCGGUCCGGCGAUGAAAAGACCUAAUAAGGUGUAGAUUGUACAUAUACUACAUAUUAGAUAUUUAUAUAUUAUGCAUAUAUUUCUUAUUUUAUGUCUCAACGCAUGUCUCGUCAUUUGUAUUAGGGGUAUUGAUUUUGAUUUUUUUCUCUUUGUGUUUCAUGUCACCAGACUCAGGUAUAUUAUUAGUAGGCAUGUAGGCCUAUUGUCUGUAAGCAUUCUUACUUCCCCAUUCAUACUGUGUAACUUUCUAAAUGGAAUAAAGUUUAUCGUUUUCAA